This 871-nucleotide long non-coding RNA is filed under the name Triticum aestivum (bread wheat). RNAcentral describes it as "long non-coding RNA (TAES_LNC015440)". The record is from RNAcentral. Lineage: Eukaryota; Viridiplantae; Streptophyta; Magnoliopsida; Poales; Poaceae.
AAAUGACACAUUAACGAUUUCCACAAUUUAUAUGUCUCUCUCUCCAUGAAACACAAGCCUCGAUAGAAGCACACAAGAAGAAUUAGCACUUCAGAGCGGGGAUGCAUUUUGGAGAAGAAAACUCCUUUUUCCCAUUCAUUUUUUGAAGGACCCAUGAAACUGAAGCAACUUUUUUGCACCAAUAGAUACUACUGAACUUUAGACAAAAAGUCAUUUUGAAACAAUACAUGGUCAUAACAGCAGCAGGGAAGCGAGAUUUCUGCUACAGGAGCAAAUACGAAGCAGUAGCGAUCUGAUCAUUUGUGUUCAAACUUAGUUGGGUUCACAACAUAAACUUCAAAAAAAUCUACACAUCAUACACCACAGCACGCAAGCAACACACCCAGCGCUCACAAAAAUGCCAGGACGCACACACACACACACCAGUGCAUGAACAAACGCAUUCAGCACGCACCCUACGUCUUGCUCAGGGCGCACUCGGAGGGCGUUGGUGGACUGGCCGCGGAGGUCGUGAGAACGCAAGGCAGACGCGGCGGCGGACGGGACGCGGAGCUCAAGGCAGAUGGUGGUCGUGACGGCGCUCCAUCCAAAAACGAGAUCGCACACCACACAGCGCCUUGUAUCCAUCGACAAGAUGCUAAAAGCAAGUAGUGCAAGUGAUUAAGGACUCCGACAACCGCAAAGAGGUAGAAGUUUAGUUUUCAUGUAAACUUCAGAUUCAGAGGUGCUUAUCUUCCUCUGUGAGUGACCGUACUAGCCAAAAUUCAGAAAAGAAAACAGUGGUGAGAAGGAAUGCUGAUGUUUGCUGCACCUGGAGACAUGCCGCGGGAGUGAGGCGCUGCGAAGGUGUUGAGGCACCUGGAGACAUGGG